CCACACCCAGCUAAUUUUUGUAUUUUUAGUAUAGAUGGGGUUUUGCCACGUUGGCCAAGCUGAUCUCAAGCUCCUGACCUCAGGUGAUCCACCUGCCUUGGCUUUCCAAAGUGCUGGGAUUACAGGCAUGAGCCACUGUGUCUGGCUGAGAUUGCUUUUUUGUAAGUAAUCUGUUGUUACUUUGGGUUACUUUUCUGUAAGGGAUAGAGCAGAGGGGACUUCCUUAUUAUACUGGAAUCUUCUGUCUUCAGGAGAAGAAAAAAAAAACUCGUCUAUUUUGGGACCUGUUUUUUAAAGUUUUAGUUUGAUUUUGUGGUGCUUAGCAUGAGUGACUCCAUUUUGGUUUGGUCUGGUCUGCUUGGGAUUAGUGCAGGAGCUCAGUCCAAAACAAUGGCCCCUCAUAAUUUUGUUUAAUACAUGAAAUUCAAAUUUCAAACUUGUAGACAUUUGCUCUCUCUCUUAUUAUAUAAGUACCUACACAAUGUCCUCAAAUUUGCUUUUUGAUCUGUAAAGACUAAGAUAUUUAUCAUCUAGUUUUACAGAAAAGUUUGCAGAUCUUCUGGUUUAAAAGAGCAGGAGAUUUAGUGUCAGGCAGGUUUGGAUUGAGCCCAAGGGCUGCCAUUUACUGAUUGUAUGACUUUGAGCAAGGUAUUUAUCGUUUUCUAAGCCUCAAUUUCCUCAUCUAUAAAAUGGGCACACAAAUAGUAUUUACCUUGGAGAGUUAAAUGGGAUAAUGCAUUUAAUGUGCUUAACACAGUGCCUAUCAGAUGCUUAGGGGCUCAACACAUUAUUUUUGUUAUUGUUGUUGUUUUACCCUAAAGUAAAUGAGACAAAAUAGCAAAGCUAAAUGAGGAGGAAUUUUUAAGUUACAUCAGAAACUGUAAUAGAUUCUAAAAUAUUAUAAUUAAGAAAUUUCAUACUUAUUUAAAAAGGCAUUUUCAAUUUAACAAUUUAACAAUUUAACCCUCUUAUAAGUUAAAAAAAAAAAAAAAAAAAAAAAGCCCGGCACGGUGGCUCACGCCUGUAAUCCCAGCUCUUUAGGAGGCUGAGGUGGAUGGAUCAGGAGGUCAGGAGUUCAAGACCAGCCUGGCUAACGUGGUGAAACCUCGUCUCUACUAAAAAUACAAAAAUUAGCUGGGCGUGGUGGUGCAUACCUGUAAUCCCAGCUACUCAGGAAGCUGAGGCAGGAGAAUCGCUUGAACCCGGAGGCAGAGGUUUCAGUGAGCCAAGAUCGUGCCACUGCACUCCAGCCUCGGCAACAGAGCAAGACUCCAUCUCAAAAAGAAAAAAGAAAUAAAAAUAAAAAGUCAUGCCCAGCUAUUUUGGGAGAACUGAAAUUACAACUCUAUCUGAGAAAAUAAAAUGACAGGACUCCACAGAAUCCAUAGAUAAAAAUUUAACUGAAGAGGAAUAUGGAACAGACCAAAGGAAAAAUUUUAUCAAGCUGUAAUCUUUAUACUUGUGCCUAAGGCCAGAACUUGAAACUGCUGAAGACAGUGUUUCUCUACAAAUGCACACAAGCACCCCAUUUUGAUGCACAGAUAGGUGUUUAUUUCUUUUAAGAAUAGCAGCUUUAUUGAGAUAAAUUUCACAUAUGAUACAAUUCACCAAUUUAAAGUGUACAAGUCAAUGGUUUUCAGUAUAAUCAGAGUUGUACUACCAUCACCAUAAUCAAUUUUAGAACAUUUUCAUCACCGCCCAAAAACCACUGUAGUCUCUCCCCAGCCCUCCACUCCUGGGAACCAUUAAUGUACUUUCUGUCUCUAUAGAUUUGCCUAUUUUGGAUAUUUUAUAUAAAUGGAAUCAUACAACAUGUGGUCUUUUGUGAAUAGCUUUUUUCACUUACCAUAAUGUUUUCAAGAUUGAUUCAUUUUGUAGCAGGUAUCAGUCCUUUUUCCUGUUUAUUGCCAAAUAAUUUUCCAUUGUAUGGAUAGAUCAUAUUUUGUUUAUCCAUUUGUCACAUUUUGGUUGUCUAUCAGUUGAUAGAUAUUUGUGGUGCAUUUAAUUUUUGGCCAAUGUGUAAAACUUAUUUUGCUCUCACUGAGGCUACAUACUGUUACAACAAUGCUAUUUGGUCAACUUGACUGAGCUGGCCUCAUAGGUUACAGGUUGCUCAUUGUUAGAGAUGAGACUUUAGACCAGACUGGACAACAUAGUGAGACCCUGUCUCUACCAAAAAGAAAAAGAAAAAUUAGCCAGAUGUAAUGGCAUAUGACUGGAGUCCCAGCUACUUGGGAGGCUGAGACGGGAGGAUCACUUGAGCCCAGGAGUUUAGGACUGCAGUGAGCUGUGAUCGUGCCAAUGCAAUCCAUGCUGGGCAACAGAGUGAGACCCUGUCUCAAAAAACAGAAAGAGGGAUUUUAGUAUAACAUUCAGCCAGUGCCAUAUUGGGAACCCACAAGAAUGUACUUAAAAAAAUAUGUCAAAGAAGGUGGUGAGGGCUGUAAUAGCUGCUAUUCAGGCAGUAAUGCAGUGCUGAAGGGACAUCAAGCAAAUAGUGUGAUGCCUGUGGGUGCAAUGUUACUCCUUCCCUUAGGUUGCCAAAAAAAUCAAUACUUCAUAGCAUUCCUGAAACGAAAAAGCUUAUGAACCAUUGUGUUUAGGGUGUAAGCUAUCUAUUUUGGGCUACCCAUCACAGCUUCUCUCCUUUGGUAGAAUAAAGUGAACUGAACCACCAUG
This 2679-nucleotide long non-coding RNA is filed under the name Pan troglodytes (chimpanzee). RNAcentral's name for it is "lincRNA". The record is from RNAcentral. Lineage: Eukaryota; Metazoa; Chordata; Mammalia; Primates; Hominidae.